RNAcentral lists this non-coding RNA (26 nucleotides) under Rattus norvegicus (Norway rat). Lineage: Eukaryota; Metazoa; Chordata; Mammalia; Rodentia; Muridae. The record is from RNAcentral.
UGCCUUCUCUGCUGGAAUUAAACCUG